UAUGGUUUCCCACCCCUAAUUAGCAUAUGCAAAUUAGGAUUCGGUAUUCGGCCGAAUCUUUCACAAAGGAUUCGGGGGUUCGGCUGAAUCCAAAAUAGUGGAUUCGGUGCAUCCCUACUCUAUAUCUGAUAUCCUCCUAUUUUGAAACAGAGGGUACUUUAUUCUAAUACUCACGUGUAAGUGAGUCAUGGAAAGAAAUUAUAUCACUAAUCUCUGAUUAAGAACCUUUAUAAGGAUCUAAUUAUAUGUAUGUGUAUAUAUAUAUAUAUCACCUUGAAGAAGUGUGUGUGUGUGUAAAAGCAGGAUCAGCGCCAUCUGUUGGUUGUAAUAUUGUGAUUUAUUUCACACAAAGUGAUAUAUAAAUAUUAUAUUCUACAGCUGCCAGUUUAUUUGGUCCCUUUUGUGUCAGAGGCACAAUAUAAAUCCAAAGGCCCGAGUUUUGUGGCAAAUCAGUGCAGAGAAUGAUAGUGUUCGGCCUCCACUUUCACAGUGGCUUAAUGGAGAUAUAUACACCAUGUCUAGUUCAGCAGAGAGAUCUGCCAAGUGUUUAAUGUGUCUUUUUGUUCCAUUGUGAGCUCUGCAGAUGCCAAAGCAGAAAUGUUCCACAACUGUUGACGUGACUGUAUUUUCUUUUCUCUCUCCAG
Long non-coding RNA from Xenopus laevis (African clawed frog), 644 nucleotides. RefSeq lists it as uncharacterized. The record is from RefSeq and is a predicted model, not a curated record. The transcript is spliced from 2 exons. NCBI's taxonomy places the organism in Eukaryota, Metazoa, Chordata, Amphibia, Anura, Pipidae.